Molecule: ribosomal RNA, 232 nt
Filed under: uncultured bacterium
Lineage: Bacteria
Description: partial 16S ribosomal RNA
Rfam family: Bacterial small subunit ribosomal RNA
Source: RNAcentral
UACGUAGGGUGCGAGCGUUAAUCGGAAUUACUGGGCGUAAAGGGUGCGUAGGUGGUUUGAUAAGUUGUCUGUGAAAUUCCCGGGCUUAACCUGGGACGGUCAGAUGAAACCGUUAGACUCGAGUAUGGGAGAGGGUAGUGGAAUUUCCGGUGUAGCGGUGAAAUGCGUAGAGAUCGGAAGGAACAUCGGUGGCGAAGGCGUCUACCUGGCCUAAUACUGACACUGAGGCACG